ACAUACUGUGACCUAUCCUCCCUCAUUGCAGCGAUGAACAGAUAAGAGAUGCGAGCGAGGGUGACUGUAGCAAAUACCGAUGGAUAGAACUGAGAAUAUACAGAACAUCUUAAUUUAGAAUUCCUCAUGUUUUGUAGUUUAACGUACAUAGGAAUUAAAAUAAAACCUGUCCGUUCAACGAGGGGAUUGUACGAAACAGAAGGGUUUGUGUGACGUUAGAUGACUAGCUAACGUUGGGCAACGUUAAUCAAAUCAGUUUUACUGAUUUUCUAACCGACGUCGCCGAUAGUACGAAGUGCGCAUAUCGUCAUCCAACCCGGUCUUCCUCAUUGACGCAGUCCGAAGAGUGUACUGGUUCGGAGAAUGCUAAAGAAUGAGUCAAAGGGAUACCCUGGUUCAUUUGUUUGCCGGAGGGUGUGGGGGAACAGUGGGUGCUAUUCUGACUUGUCCACUGGAAGUGGUAAAGACCAGACUACAGUCCUCUCAUGUCACCUUCUACAUCUCUGAGGUGCAGCUCAGCACCGUCAAUGGGGCCAGUGUGGCCCGCAUGGCCCCCCCGGGACCCCUCCACUGCCUCAAGUUGAUACUGGAGAAAGAGGGACCGCGCUCGCUGUUCAGAGGCCUUGGGCCCAACCUGGUGGGUGUGGCUCCUUCCAGAGCCAUCUACUUUGCAUCCUACUCCACUGCCAAAGAGAAGCUGAACGGCGUGUUUGAGCCCGACUCGACGCAGGUCCAUAUGGUGUCUGCAGGCCUAGCAGGUAACAGUUGUUCCACAAACUCCUCCUCUGCUGUCUAUAGCCUGCUUGUCAUUGCAGUUUCUACUGCUUGUUGCUACAUUCAAAGUUGACUUGUUUAGACAAUUCAUUUCCAGCUACUUAUUUUAUUUUGACUGUUUACAUAGAAAAGGGGAUAUGUUAAGUAUUUAUUCAAAGAUAUUUAGUUUUUGUUUUUUAAAGUAACUGGCCAUAUUUGUUUAUUUGAUUAAAUGUUUGUUUUGUACAUUUGUAUCUUGCGUUAUGGGGUUUCCUGUUAAUUUGAAGAUAAUUCAAUAUUUGAUUAACAUUGCUCUAGCCUCUAUCCAGCUAGGUGUUAGACAUUGCCACUAUAUGGGUUGCCUUGUGGACGUUUUCCAGUGUUUUGAAUAUCAACCACAGAUGGUUUGCCCGAAAGCACAAUUGAAGACUUUCAGGAUCAGUCUCUAGUAUAAACCCUACUUUAUAUCUAUAGUGAAAGCACAAUUGAAGUCUUUCAGGAUCAGUCUCUAGUAUAAACCCUACUUUAUAUCUAUAGUGAAAGCACAAUUGAAGUCUUUCAGGAUCAGUCUCUAGUAUAAACCCUACUUUAUAUCUAUAGUGAAAGUGAAGAGGUUAUUCUGCCCUUCAAUAUUGUAGUUCUUAAGUUGUAUGUGAAAAAAAUAAUCUGUGUUCUCUGUCAAAGCACUUAGUAAGAAAAGAUGUAAAGAAGUGUGAAAAAGACAAAGCACAGAGUUAACACUGUCAGUUACAUUUUCUACUACUUCCACUCAUAUAGUGAACUGCUCUUGUGAUUUCACACGGCAAAUAGCCCCACUGACCCACAUUACUGCCUCUGUCCUACAAUUAUAUACAGCCAACUUGGCAGAGGCCCAACGCUUUACUACAUACAACUACAAGACUUACCACUAGCUAGCUGUCUGUUCCAGCAAUACAAUAAAAAACAUCCUCAAAGUUUGGGUUGUGCUUUCCAUCCCACUCCCACUUUCCCCACUUUUUUCUCUUGAGGCUCUUCGACUCUCUUGAAGGACCCUAAAUUGUGUUAACGUACCAGUUUGUUGCUAAACAGUGAGUUUGGCCCUUCAAGCGCUGUCUAUGCUGUGUGUGUACAGUAGUAAAGGCCCCAGGGUGCUAACAUGUCAGGGCCCUCACUGCGGGAGCCCCCGCCUCGCGGCGACACACCGGCCGGACGCCUCAGGUAGCACUCCAUUUCCUUUCACUGGUAUGACCAUGAUGAUGAUGAUGCUAUUGAUGCUAAUAAUGAUGAUGCUGGUUAUAAGUCACUAGCUGGUUUGCAGCUCUUUCAUCUCCUUUAACUUCUACAUGAUUGCACAGUCUUGAUACACUGUACCCCUUCCCCCUUUUUUUACCAGCCUGUUUACCCCCCCACCCACCCCCACUGAAGGUACAUGAACAAUAUGCAUUUUUAGAUGUUUCUUAGUCGGCAUAUGAAGUGAAAUGCUAACCUUGUCACUAUUAGGUUUGAGGGUCCUUAUUUGGUUCAUCGUCAUUUACUCUUGAACCGCUGACACCACAGAUGUAGGUUAUUUAAGUUCAGCGAUGUACGUCUGCCCUCAUCUGAUGACAAUACUGUGCUGUAGAUAUCACUCAUGUAACAUACGUAUGUCUAUAUACAGGAUAUAGGCUAUCGGUGACAACCUAGUUCCAGACACUAGAAAAUCCCUAUCGGAUUAUGGCACUCCCAAAAUGAUGUGAAACACCUGAAUCCUUUCCCUCAGUUACACAUGCAGAUAUAGAAUAAUUACCCAAAGAUGCUUUUUAGUCAGCAUUUUUUAAAUUUAAAUUUGAUAUAGUGCCAGUUCUCCAAGUACAAAUUAUAGAAACAUGCUUACUGACUUUUUCAAUUACAGAUGUAGAAUGAAUAGACCAUUUUAAUUUAGACAACAUACAUUGAGUAUUCAAAACAUUAGGAACACCUGCUCUUUCAAUGACCGACUGACCAGGUGAUUCCAGGUGAAAGCUUUGAUCCCUUAAUUAUGUCACUUGUUAAAUCCACUUCAGUCAGUGUAGAUGAAGGGAGGAGACAGGUUAAAGAAGGAUUUUUAAGCCUCCAGACAAAGACAUUGAUUGUGUAUGUGUGCCAUUCAGAGGGAGAAUGGGCAAGACAAAGGAUUGAAGUGCCUUUGGACGGGUUAUGGUGGUAGGUGCCAGGCUGCAACACUGCUGGGUUUUUCACGCUCAACAGUUUCCCGUGUGUAUCAAGAAUGGUCCAUCACCAAAGGACAUCCAGCCAACUUGGAACAACUGUGCAAUGCUUUCGACAUCUUGUAAAGUCCAUGCCCUGACGAAUUGAGGCUGUUCUGAGGGCAAAAGGGGGGAGUGCAACUCGAUAUUAGGAAGGUGUUCCUAGUGUUUGGUAUACUUGGUGUUGAUUCAUAAUCAUACCCACUACUGGCCUAUAAUCAUGCCCAUUUUGCAUAGUCAUUCAACUCCCUGAACCCUCUCUCUAGGAGUUGAGGAGUGGAGCUAAGAAAUGUUCUCCAGCUGCACAUCUAAACCAUUUUCCCUAGUAAAUGUAACACAUGAGUAUGAGUUGCCACACAUACUCAUGCCUUCUCUUGAAUUCAACACAACCACAGUUUGCUCAGGGCCUAGUGUCUAUUCCUGUCGAUAGACCUCCUGUAUAGACUUGCUAGUUCAUGUGGUUAAUUUACGCUGGAUCAGGAACCCAUAGUAUGUCAAGAGCCUUGAACUACGUUGUGGACUCUGACACCCUCGCAUAAUAUGUGAUCCUCUUUGUGUGUGCACAGAUAUCACAUCUAUCAUAUAUUUUAAUAGAGGGCCCCAUUCAGCCUAAAGCACACUGCAUUAUAGCAGAUGAAUGUAGUGCUGUGCUGUAAUAACACUGGAACUAGGUCACGCCAUUGAAUUAGUUUAGAUAUGAAACGGCUGACACUCCAGUAAUAUGUUUCAUUUGGGGGAAAGGUUCUAUGUAUUUGAGACAUCUGGCCUCCACACAGUCCUUUGUCCAACAUAAAAAUGGCAUUAAUGCUUAACUUUUAGAAGUUGUUCAGGCGAUCAGAAACCGAUGGGUGGGUCUUGUUGAAUUGGCGUAUCACAACACUGAUUCCGCUUUGGUCCUCUUGAAUAAUUCAAGAAGGCCAGUCCAUUUAGUUUCCUCAUGGCAGCCAAUGAGGCCUUCAGCUGAGGCUCACACCAUGACGUCGUUCAUACAAUGACUUUCUCUUAAGAUGUAGGCCUACUGUAGGGCUGAGCUCACCUUAUCUGGGAGCUACUAUUGUUCAAAUUACAUUUACUCAAUUCAUUGACUAAUUUAUAGGGUAGAAUUUAAUAUGGCACACUUAACAAAGCUCGUCAUUUUAUAGACUUAAGUCUGCUUGACAAGGUUAGCAUUUCAACCCUCUGGCAUUAUUUGACCUUUUUUUUUUUAUUGUGACUAUUUCAUUGUUGACUUUGUCCCCCAUUUUAUUUGACCCCAUCGUUACUGUUAAGAAUCAAUAAAGGUGACUGUGGUAAUGAUGCCAUUGGUUGACAAUGAUUGGCACCUGUAGCAUCGUUGAAAUAUAUUUUAUUAUUGUGUACCACACAUGUUUAUUUGUUUUGUCCUGCACAUAAUGAAUAUACCGGUGGGGUGAUGUUCAUUUACGACAGAUUUGCAUGUUUCUUCCCUUACCAAGAACAACAUACAGUACCUGACAAAACGUAGGGGAGGGAAACGACACGAGACGGCCUCUUGCAUUUUAAAACAGGUGUGGGUCGGGUAAGGUCAAGAGUUUGAGGGUUAGAGUGGGGAGGAAGAGAUUCUCUCCCCCCCCCCCCCCCCCCCACACACACACACUCUCACCUUGGUUGGUUUAAAAAAGGGUGGGUAAAAAUGUGGGAGUGGGGAGGAUUCAUAAGUUUAUAUAUAAAAAGGGGGAUUUGGGGAGGCUUAGGGGGAUCUUACCUGUUUAUCAGAUUGGGGAAGAUGGGGGUGAUACCUGUCAUCCUAUUUGACCUGUUAAAAAUACAGGGAUUGGGUAGGAUCGGUAGGUUUCCUCUUCAUCUAUGUAAAUAAAGGGAGUUUGUGGGUGGGUUGGUUGGUUGACUGCUGCCUGUGUGUGACUGUGGUCAUUUUAGGGAUUUACUGUAGCUUUCACCCCUGCGUGAGGGGGGAGAGCCCCCGCCACCUCAGCCCCCCCAUAUCUGCAGGCUUCUAGCUGCAGCUGUGAGGCGGAGUAGCUUUGCCCCUACUCUGGUUCACUGCUAUCACGGCGACCAAUCCCAUCUGGUUGAUCAAGACCCGGUUGCAGCUGGAUGCCAGGAACCGUGGCGAGAGGCGCAUGAAUGCGUUUGAGUGUGUGCGGCGGGUCUACCAGGCGGAGGGCUGGCGGGGCUUCUAUCGGGGUAUGUCUGCCUCGUAUGCCGGCAUCUCCGAGACGGUCAUCCAUUUUGUCAUCUAUGAGAGUAUCAAGCGCAAGUUGAUGGAGUCCAGGGCCCAGGCCAGCAUGGAUCAGGACGAGGACGAGUCGGUGAGGGAUGCCUCAGACUUUGUGGGCAUGAUGCUGGCCGCCGCCACCUCCAAGACCUGUGCCACCUCUCUCGCCUACCCCCACGAGGUGAUCCGCACCCGGCUACGAGAGGAGGGCAGCAAGUACCGCUCCUUCUUCCAGACAUUACUGACAGUACCUAAGGAGGAGGGCUACCGCGCCCUGUACCGUGGUCUCACCACCCAUCUGGUCCGCCAGAUCCCCAACACCGCCAUCAUGAUGUCCACCUACGAGAUGGUGGUCUACAUGCUACAACGCUAGCCCCUCCCCUUCCUGUCUGGAGAGAAAGUAGGAAGUGACUGACUUGGUUGGGCAUGUCUAAGAUGGAGACCAAAGGAAAACUGAUAUGGACCAGAACCAAGAAGAAAGCACAGGAGCCCCCCUACUCUCCAUCCAACAACCUCACACCCUAAUCCUACAGGCUGACCCUCAAGGGGGCUCUGUGGUCUGGGGACAGAGAGAAACAGUUGGGUCAGUCUUUUUAUAGAGCCUGUCAAACAGGAGAUGUCUCUGAAGGAAAGACGGAUAUCAUGUUGUGGCCUUUAAAGAGUUUUAAGUUUGUCGCUGUGUCUUUUGUAGAAUGAAACCAAACUGCUUUAGCCUGUAUUGGAAAUUACAAUCUGAACGGGAAUGCUUGAAAACAAUCGAUCAAAAACUGGUGUCAUAACACUGAACAUUACAUAAAAUUCUCCAGUAGAUGCAUUUGAUUAAAUUAGCGCUUUUUCACUAGGAUUUAGCAUGUAAGCUAAUAUUUGAAACAAGCUAAGCAUGCUCUGUUUCAGUAACUUGAAACCAAGUUUGGUGGAUAUCUUUAUUUUCAACAGAUCAAUUUCUCAAGCAAGAAUUUUGCUAGGACUGUUUGAGUGGGGAGGGGAAAGCUAGCUACUAUUGGAAGAGAGGUUUGGAACUCUUUCUUAUUGGUCUAUUAACUGAUUUCAAAGCUCCAUCCCACCUAAACAGGCCGAAAUUUCAGGUCUCUUCAAACAGCUCUUACACUAAAAGGGCAUUAUCAUUUUUACAACUUCACAAUAUUCCAACCUCCAUUGUGUAUAAAACACAGUAAAAUAAUGUUUGACUGCACUGGGCCUUUAAAACCUUGUAACAAUAAAGCAAACACCAACCUAGUGUCUUAAUAGGGCGUUGGGCCACUACAAGCAACCAAAACUGCUUCAAUGUGCUUUGGCAUAGAUUCAACAAGUGUCUGGAACUCUAUUGAAGGGAUGCGACACCAUUCUUUCAGGAGAAAUUCCAUAAUUUGGUGUUUUGUUGAUAGUGGUGGAAAAUGUGGUCUCGGGCGUCGUUCCAAGUCUUCAAUCAGGUUGAGAUCUGGUGACUAACCCCUCUAUUUUCCUAUGAAACCCCUCUUUUGAAGUCCCUGAGAAAAAACGGGGCAUUUUUAUACAUGACCCUAAGCAUGAUGGGAUGUUAAUUGCUUAAUUAACUCAAGAACCACACCUGUGUGGAUGCACCUGCUUUCAAUAUACUUUGUAUCCAUCAUUUACGCAAGUGUUUUCUUUAUUUUGGCAGUUGCCUGUAUAUCAAAAGAAAAUAGCAAGCAAACCAUACAUGCACUACAAGGAGUUGGUCUUCAAGCAUUCCCCUGAAGGUCCCAGUUUCCCGUUAUAGUCUGAAGCAAUGCAUAUGGUGCACUGCUGCACAAGACUAGUGAUCGCCGAUCACAACACAUGCCUCACACUUAACCAGUGGUUUAUUUGUUUUGAAAGCUGACUAUCAUUUCAGUGUUUUUGUAUAAUGGUAUUGUUUCUCUGAUACUAGUCAUUGUGAAGGACCUAGUUGUCUCAUGAAUAAACUAGACUUCACUGCCCUAGAAGGGUACCAACAUUUAGCAGGUUAGAGAUCUAUCUAUCGGUGUGAUGCCGCUACUUGAUGAUAAUUUAGGUGUUGAAGCCAGGUUGUGUCAAUGUUUAUUUCAUCACUACUCCCAACCUGAGUGUUUGCAAGACUCUGACUGUGACCAUAAGUGCGUGCGAGAGAAAGUGUGUGUGUUGAUGUGCAUUUGACUCCGUUUGUGUAUGUUUGUGGGUUGAGAGCGAACAUCCCUGAUAUCUGGUAGAGUUCCCCCCACUAAAAGUGAAUCAUGUAUACUGAACAAAAAUAUAAAUGCAACUGAUUUUACUGAGUUACAAUUCAUAUAAGGAAAUCAGUCAAUUGAAAAAAAUGUAUGAGGCCCUAAUCUAUGGAUUUCACAUGACUGGAAAUACACAUACCUUAUUAAAAGAAGUGGUCCUCGCAAUGGGCCUCAGAAUCUUGUCACAUUAUUUCUGUGCAUUCAAAUGUUCAUUGAUCAAAUGCAAUUGUGUUCGUUGACAUCAGCAAACCGCUCACCCACACACGUGGUCUGCGGUUGUCAGGCUGAUUGGACAUGCUGCUAAAUUCUCUGAUGGAGGUGGUUUAUGGUAGAGAAAUUAACAUUCAAUUAUCUGGCAAAAGGCCAAUUGGACACUCCCUCAAAAUCUGAGACAUCUGUGGCAUUGUGUUUGACAAAACUGCAUAUUUUAGAGAGGCCUUUUAUUGUCCCCAGCAAAAGAUGCACCUGUGUAAUGAUCAUGCUGUUUAAUCAGCUUCUAGAUAUGCCACACCUGUCAGGUGGAUAGAUUAUCUUGGCUAAGGAGAAAUGCUCAUUAACAGGGAUGUAAACACAUUUGUGCACAACAUUCUAGAGAAAUAAGCUUUUUCUGUAUGUAAAAUUUCUGUGAUCUUUUAUUUCACCUAAUGAAACAUGGGACCAACACUUUACAAGUUAUAUUUUUGUUCAGUGUAGAUCAUUAAGGUUAGGAGCAAGGCCGAGCUACUGUACAUUUGUGGUCCAUCCCAGCUCCUACACCCGAGCCCUGCCUUACCAGUGGCUUCCAACUCAACAUUUAUGACCUUUUGGGUCUUGUGCUUAACAUUCUUGUGUGUGUGUGGGACAUUUUAAUCUUGUAUUAUAAGAAUAGUGUUACUGUUUAUGCAAAAACUGUAUUUUGCUCAACAGUUCCCAUUGCAGAUAUUGUACAGUUGAGUACUUAAUCUUGCAAAGGAUUUUCAUUUGUGUGUGUUGAUAUAGUACAUGUUUAUGCAUAGCAACUUUUGUGUAUAUUUUGCUUCGAUCCAUGUAUUAUACUGCAGUUCUGUUGCAAAUGAUUUAUUUUGUUUGUGUACUAUUAUCAAUAUAUUUUAACCUGUUGCAACAUGGUGUGUUGACAUUUUUAUUUUGUUAAAGUUGUAUAUUAUAAUAUUGUAUUUAAUUUUACAUCAUGUAAGGCUUGAUGCUGAAAGAUGGUCUUUAAUUUUAUGGCAUUCAUAAAAUAAUUGGAUUUGGUGUAAAAUACUUAAUUUUUUGUUUUGUUUUUACCCCGUUUGCUAUCCAUAGUAACCUCCAUAUCUAAGUGUGUAGACUGCUACAACAUCCUAUCAGCUCUUAACAUUAUAGUCAUUUAGUAGACACUCUUAUCCAGAGCGGUUUUACAGGAGCAAUGAGGGUUAAGUGCCUUUGUUCCAAAUUCUCAAUCUGGCAUUUCAAUUGUAGUGUCAAUAUGACAAGAUUGUUUUGGCGUUCAAGUUGCCCUGAAGUAGUUUUAAACUGAUUCUGGAUUCCUGAUUUAAAUACUUUUCGGCAGUGCAGAGGCUACAUGGGAUUAUGAUGCGUAUAAUUUAGAUGGAUAUAAAUAUCCUUCUGUACAUGGAAGCUUUCAAGCACAGUGUCUUUAUCUACAAUAGUUGCUCAUUUUCUCAUGCCAAUUUCAACUAGUUUCCUUUCCACUGAAAUACUGUAUUAAAACUGCAAUGUGAAGGAACAUACUGGAGUCCUUUUCCCACAGACUACAGCGUAGGUGUAAUCGUUACUGUCAGUGCCCUGAUAGUCAUACUGACUUGAAUAACUAGUGUACAAAGGAAUAUCAUUUUCACAAACCAACAACAGUUCCAUGAACAAUCAACUGUGAUGUAUUUUGUUGUAGAGCAUAGGCUUGCAUAUAAAUGACUGUCCUGUUCUGCUUUCAAUUCAAGACUCUGUUGUAUUGGAAAUAAAACACACUAUACAGGUCAUCAGA
This is an RNA transcript of Oncorhynchus kisutch (coho salmon), 9315 nucleotides long. It is a transcript of the gene named solute carrier family 25 member 36a, with no coding region annotated. The transcript has 7 exons. The record is from RefSeq and is a predicted model, not a curated record. NCBI's taxonomy places the organism in Eukaryota, Metazoa, Chordata, Actinopteri, Salmoniformes, Salmonidae.